GAGUUUGAUCCUGGCUCAGAACGAACGCUGGCGGCGUGGAUAAGACAUGCAAGUCGAACGGGAGAAUUGCUAGCUUGCUAAUAAUUCUCUAGCGGCGCACGGGUGAGUAACACGUGAGUAACCUGCCCCCGAGAGCGGGAUAGCCCUGGGAAACUGGGAUUAAUACCGCAUAGUAUCGAAAGAUUAAAGCAGCAAUGCGCUUGGGGAUGGGCUCGCGGCCUAUUAGUUAGUUGGUGAGGUAACGGCUCACCAAGGCGAUGACGGGUAGCCGGUCUGAGGGGAUGUCCGGCCACACUGGAACUGAGACACGGUCCAGACACCUACGGGUGGCAGCAGUCGAGAAUCAUUCACAAUGGGGGAAACCCUGAUGGUGCGACGCCGCGUGGGGGAAUGAAGGUCUUCGGAUUGUAAACCCCUGUCAUGUGGGAGCAAAAUUAAAAAGAUAGUACCACAAGAGGAAGAGACGGCUAACUCUGUGCCAGCAGCCGCGGUAAG
RNAcentral lists this ribosomal RNA (495 nucleotides) under uncultured microorganism. Its description in RNAcentral is "bacterial SSU rRNA". It matches the Rfam family "Bacterial small subunit ribosomal RNA", at positions 9 to 524 of the family's 1533-position model. The record is from RNAcentral.